This 980-nucleotide ribosomal RNA is filed under the name bacterium. Its description in RNAcentral is "partial 23S ribosomal RNA". It matches the Rfam family "Bacterial large subunit ribosomal RNA", at positions 1 to 975 of the family's 2925-position model. The record is from RNAcentral.
GGUUAAGCUACUAAGAGCGCACGGUGGAUACCUUGGCGUCAGCAGCCGAUGAAGGACGCAAUAAACUGCGAAAUUCCACGGGGAGUCGUUAUAGACUAAGAUCCGUGGGUCUCCGAAUGGGGCAACCCCGCUGAGUAAUGUCAGCGACGCACAUCUGAAUACAUAGGGUGUGACGAGGUAAGCUCGGGAACUGAAACAUCUUAGUACCGAGAGGAAAAUAAAACAAAACAGUGAUUCCCUAAGUAGCGGCGAGUGAACGGGGAACAGCCCAAACCAGUAGGACGUAAGUCUUAUUGGGGUUGCGGGACUCUAUAAAGAAUUGAAGAAAGUUAGUUGAAGAGCUCUGGAAAGGGCUACCAAAGACGGUGACAGUCCGGUAGACGAAAACUUUCGACAUCUGGGAGUAUCCCAAGUAGUACGGGACACGAGAAAUCUUGUACGAAUCUGCCAGGACCAUCUGGUAAGGCUAAAUACUGACUGACGACCGAUAGUGAACAAGUACCGCGAGGGAAAGGUGAAAAGAACCCGUGAGAGGGAGUGAAAUAGAACAUGAAACCGUGUGCUUACAAGCAAUUGGAGCCCUAUUUAUAGGGUGACAGUGUGCCUGUUGAAGAAUGAGCCGGCGAGUUACCGUAUGUAGUUGGUUAAGCAGUUAAUAUGCGAAGCCAUAGCGAAAGCGAGUCUGAUAAGGGCGUUGAUAAUUACAUGUGGUAGACCCGAACCCGGGUGAUCUAGGCAUGGCCAGGAUGAAGCGCAAGUAACAUUGCGUAGAGGUCCGAACCAACUGAUGUUGAAAAAUCAGUGGAUGAGCUGUGUUUAGGGGUGAAAUGCCAAUCGAACCCGGAGCUAGCUGGUUCUCCCCGAAAGGCGUUGAGGCACCGCGUCAGAUUUAACCUACAGGGGGUAGAGCACUAGUUCGGUGCGGGCGGAGAAAAUCCGUACCAAAUCGAGUUAAACUCCGAAUACCUGUAGCGUCAUUA